RNAcentral lists this ribosomal RNA (326 nucleotides) under uncultured Bacteroidota bacterium. RNAcentral's name for it is "bacterial SSU rRNA". It matches the Rfam family "Bacterial small subunit ribosomal RNA", at positions 28 to 351 of the family's 1533-position model. The record is from RNAcentral. Lineage: Bacteria; Pseudomonadati; Bacteroidota.
GAUGAACGCUAGCGGCAGGCUUAAUACAUGCAAGUCGAACGGCAGCACAGGUAGCAAUACUGGGUGGCGAGUGGCGCACGGGUGCGUAACACGUAUGCAACUUACCCUUUACCGAGACAUAACCCAUCGAAAGGUGAGCUAAUAUCUCAUAACAUUAUGAACUGGCAUCAGUUUAUAAUUAAAGUUCCGGUGGUAGAGGAUAGGCAUGCGUCCCAUUAGCUAGUUGGUAAGGUAACGGCUUACCAAGGCGACGAUGGGUAGGGGUUCUGAGAGGAAAAUCCCCCACACUGGUACUGAGACACGGACCAGACUCCUACGGGAGGCAG